AACGAACGCUGGCGGCAUGCCUAACACAUGCAAGUCGAACGAGACCUUCGGGUCUAGUGGCGCACGGGUGCGUCACGCGUGGGAACCUGCCCUUAGGUUCGGAAUAACUCUCCGAAAGGGGUGCUAAUACAGGGUAAUGUCUUCUGACCAAAGAUUUAUCGCCUUUGGAUGGGCACGCGUUGGUUUAGCUAGUUGGUAGGGUAAAAGCCUACCAAGGCGACGAUCCAUAGCUGGUCUGAGAGGAUGGUCAGCCACACUGGGACUGGGACACGGCCCAGACUCCUACGCGAGGCAGCAGAGGGGAAUAUAGGACUAUCGGCGAAAGCCUGAACCAGCAAUGCCGCGUAAGUGAUGAAGGCCUGAGGGUUGUAAAGCUCUUUUACCCGGGAUGAUAAUGACAGUACCGGGAGAAUAAGCUCCGGCUAACUCCGUG
Molecule: ribosomal RNA, 433 nt
Filed under: uncultured bacterium
Lineage: Bacteria
Description: partial 16S ribosomal RNA
Rfam family: Bacterial small subunit ribosomal RNA
Source: RNAcentral